RNAcentral lists this ribosomal RNA (422 nucleotides) under Verrucomicrobiota bacterium. RNAcentral describes it as "Verrucomicrobia bacterium partial 16S ribosomal RNA". It matches the Rfam family "Bacterial small subunit ribosomal RNA", at positions 355 to 776 of the family's 1533-position model. Lineage: Bacteria; Pseudomonadati; Verrucomicrobiota. The record is from RNAcentral.
UGGGGAAUAUUGCACAAUGGGCGAAAGCCUGAUGCAGCGACGCCGCGUGAGGGAUGGAGGCCUUCGGGUUGUAAACCUCUUUCAGUAAGGGUGAAGGCUCUCUUUUGUGGAGGGUUGACAGUACUUGCAGAAGAAGCGCCGGCUAACUACGUGCCAGCAGCCGCGGUAAUACGUAGGGCGCGAGCGUUGUCCGGAAUUAUUGGGCGUAAAGGGCUUGUAGGUGGCGUGUCGCGUCUGCUGUGAAAUUCCAGGGCUUAACUUUGGGAUUGCAGUGGGUACGGGCAUGCUAGAGUGCAGUAGGGGAGAUUGGAAUUCCUGGUGUAGCGGUGAAAUGCGCAGAUAUCAGGAGGAACACCGGUGGCGAAGGCGGGUCUCUGGGCUGUUACUGACGCUGGGGAGCGAAGGCGUGGGGAGCGAACAGG